RNAcentral lists this microRNA precursor (123 nucleotides) under Prunus persica (peach). RNAcentral's name for it is "pre miRNA mir-399". Lineage: Eukaryota; Viridiplantae; Streptophyta; Magnoliopsida; Rosales; Rosaceae. The record is from RNAcentral.
GGUAGAAUUGCUGAGCAGAUCUCCUUUGGCAGACUGCUAGCCUUCCUCUCAUUAGAUUAGGCCACAGUGAAUGCAUGUAGAUAGAUACAGUUUGCCAAAAGGAGGCUGCUCGGUAAUUCUCCU